This 803-nucleotide ribosomal RNA is filed under the name Beltrania rhombica. RNAcentral describes it as "partial large subunit ribosomal RNA". It matches the Rfam family "Eukaryotic large subunit ribosomal RNA", at positions 82 to 913 of the family's 3401-position model. Lineage: Eukaryota; Fungi; Ascomycota; Sordariomycetes; Amphisphaeriales; Beltraniaceae. The record is from RNAcentral.
AGUAACGGCGAGUGAAGCGGGAACAGCUCAAAUUUGAAAUCUGGCCUUCGGGUCCGAAUUGUAAUUUGCAGAGGAUGCUUUUGGUUAGGUACUUUCCGAGUUCCCUGGAACGGGACGCCUUAGAGGGUGAGAGCCCCGUACGGUUGGAUACCGAGCCUUUGUAAAGCUCCUUCGACGAGUCGAGUAGUUUGGGAAUGCUGCUCUAAAUGGGAGGUAAAUUUCUUCUAAAGCUAAAUACCGGCCAGAGACCGAUAGCGCACAAGUAGAGUGAUCGAAAGAUGAAAAGCACUUUGAAAAGAGGGUUAAAUAGCACGUGAAAUUGUUGAAAGGGAAGCGUUUAUGACCAGACUUUUUCCAGGCGAAUCAUCCGGUGUUCUCGCCGGUGCACUUCGUCUGGUUGAGGCCAGCAUCGGUUUUCGUGGGGGGAUAAAAGCGGUGGGAAUGUGACUCCUCCGGGAGUGUUAUAGCCCGCCGUAUAAUACCUCCAUGGGGACCGAGGUUCGCGCUCUGCAAGGAUGCUGGCGUAAUGGUCAUCAACGACCCGUCUUGAAACACGGACCAAGGAGUCGAACAUUUGUGCGAGUGUUUGGGUGUUAAACCCUCACGCGUAAUGAAAGUGAACGGAGGUGAGAGCCCUUACGGGUGCAUCAUCGACCGAUCCUGAUGUUUUCGGAUGGAUUUGAGUAAGAGCAUAACUGUUCGGACCCGAAAGAUGGUGAACUAUGCGUGGAUAGGGUGAAGCCAGAGGAAACUCUGGUGGAGGCUCGCAGCGGUUCUGACGUGCAAAUCGAUCGUCAAAUCUG